This 508-nucleotide ribosomal RNA is filed under the name uncultured bacterium. RNAcentral's name for it is "bacterial SSU rRNA". It matches the Rfam family "Bacterial small subunit ribosomal RNA", at positions 15 to 518 of the family's 1533-position model. The record is from RNAcentral.
GAUAUGGCUCAGAUUGAACGCUGGCGGCAGGCUUAACACAUGCAAGUCGAGCGGGGAUAGGGUGCUUGCACCUGAUCCUAGCGGCGGACGGGUGAGUAAUGCUUAGGAAUCUGCCUAUUAGUGGGGGACAACGUUCCGAAAGGGACGCUAAUACCGCAUACGUCCUACGGGAGAAAGCAGGGGAUCUUCGGACCUUGCGCUAAUAGAUGAGCCUAAGUCGGAUUAGCUAGUUGGUGGGGUAAAGGCCUACCAAGGCGACGAUCUGUAGCGGGUCUGAGAGGAUGAUCCGCCACACUGGGACUGAGACACGGCCCAGACUCCUACGGGAGGCAGCAGUGGGGAAUAUUGGACAAUGGGGGCAACCCUGAUCCAGCCAUGCCGCGUGUGUGAAGAAGGCCUUUUGGUUGUAAAGCACUUUAAGCGAGGAGGAGGCUUACCUGGUUAAUACCCGGGAUAAGUGGACGUUACUCGCAGAAUAAGCACCGGCUAACUCUGUGCCAGCAGCCGC